GUGGACAUAGUUUAACCAAAACAUCAGACCGUGAACCUGAAAACAGAAGCCCACCCCUUCUUGCCCACC
RNAcentral lists this transfer RNA (69 nucleotides) under Varanus rudicollis (roughneck monitor). Its description in RNAcentral is "tRNA-His". It matches the Rfam family "tRNA". From Rfam's summary of the family: Transfer RNA (tRNA) molecules are approximately 80 nucleotides in length. Their secondary structure includes four short double-helical elements and three loops (D, anti-codon, and T loops). Lineage: Eukaryota; Metazoa; Chordata; Lepidosauria; Squamata; Varanidae. The record is from RNAcentral.